CUAACCGUAAACGAUGACAACCAGCGAUUAGUCGGUGUUAAUAUACCGACCCGACUAGCAGGCUUCCGGGAAACCAAAGUUUUUCGUUUCCGGGGGAAGUAUGGUUGCAAAGCUGAAACUUAAAGGAAUUGACGGAAGGGCACCACCAGGAGUGGAGCCUGCGGCUUAAUUUGACUCAACACGGGAAAACUCACCCGGCCCGGACACCCGUAAGGAUUGACAGACUGAGAGCUCUUUUCUUAAUUCGGUGGGGUGGUGGUGCAUGGCCGUUCUUAGUUGGUGGGAGCGAUUUGUCUGGUUAAUUCCGAUAACGAACGAGACUCUGGCCUAUUAAAUAGUCGGUAUAUCCGGAAAAGUUUACCGUACUUCUUAGAGGGACAAACGGCGUCUAGCCGCGUGAAAUAGAGCAAUAACAGGUCUGUGAUGCCCUUAGAUGUCCGGGGCUGCACGCGCGCUACACUGAAAGAAUCAGUAUGCGCUUUAACCUAGUCCGGAAGGAUUGGGUAACCCGAGCAAAUUCUUUCGUGCUUGGGAUAGGGAAUUGCAAUUAUUUCCCUUAAACGAGGAAUUCCCAGUAAAUGCGGGUCAUAAGCUCGCGUUG
This 601-nucleotide ribosomal RNA is filed under the name Xiphinema brevicolle. RNAcentral describes it as "SSU rRNA". It matches the Rfam family "Eukaryotic small subunit ribosomal RNA", at positions 1026 to 1643 of the family's 1831-position model. The record is from RNAcentral. Lineage: Eukaryota; Metazoa; Nematoda; Enoplea; Dorylaimida; Longidoridae.